RNAcentral lists this ribosomal RNA (497 nucleotides) under uncultured bacterium. RNAcentral's name for it is "partial 16S ribosomal RNA". It matches the Rfam family "Bacterial small subunit ribosomal RNA", at positions 28 to 507 of the family's 1533-position model. The record is from RNAcentral.
GACGAACGCUGGCGGCGUGCCUAAUACAUGCAAGUUGAGCGAUGAAGAUUGGUGCUUGCACCCAUUUGAAGAGCAGCGAACGGGUGAGUAACGCGUGGGGAAUCUGCCUUUGAGCGGGGGACAACAUUUGGAAACGAAUGCUAAUACCGCAUAACAACUUUAAACAUAAGUUUUAAGUUUGAAAGAUGCAAUUGCAUCACUCAAAGAUGAUCCCGCGUUGUAUUAGCUAGUUGGUGAGGUAAAGGCUCACCAAGGCGAUGAUACAUAGCCGACCUGAGAGGGUGAUCGGCCACAUUGGGACUGAGACACGGCCCAAACUCCUACGGGAGGCAGCAGGAGGGAAUCUUCGGCAAGGGACGAAAGUCUGACCGAGCAACGCCGCGGGAGGGAAGAAGGGUUUCGGAUCGUAAAACUCUGUUGGUAGAGAAGAACGUUGGUGAGAGUGGAAAGCUCAUCAAGUGACGGUAACUACCCAGAAAGGGACGGCUAACUACGUG